This 432-nucleotide ribosomal RNA is filed under the name uncultured bacterium. RNAcentral describes it as "partial 16S ribosomal RNA". It matches the Rfam family "Bacterial small subunit ribosomal RNA", at positions 29 to 507 of the family's 1533-position model. The record is from RNAcentral.
ACGAACGCUGGCGGCAGGCCUAACACAUGCAAGUCGAGCGAGGACUUCGGUUCUAGCGGCGGACGGGUGAGUAACGCGUGGGAAUGUGCCCUUCUCUACGGAAUAGCCCUGGGAAACUGGGAGUAAUACCGUAUACGCCCUAUUGGGGAAAGAUUUAUCGGAGAAGGAUCAGCCCGCGUUGGAUUAGGUAGUUGGUGGGGUAAUGGCCUACCAAGCCGACGAUCCAUAGCUGGUUUGAGAGGAUGAUCAGCCACACUGGGACUGAGACACGGCCCAGACUCCUACGGGAAGCAGCAGUGGGGAAUCUUAGACAAUGGGGGCAACCCUGAUCUAGCCAUGCCGCGUGAGUGAUGAAGGCCUUAGGGUUGUAAAGCUCUUUCAGCUGGGAAGAUAAUGACGGUACCAGCAGAAGAAGCCCCGGCUAACUCCGUG